Molecule: long non-coding RNA, 3096 nt
Filed under: Homo sapiens (human)
Lineage: Eukaryota; Metazoa; Chordata; Mammalia; Primates; Hominidae
Description: non-protein coding lnc-PCYOX1L-4:1
Source: RNAcentral
CCACAGCUCAGGGGCUCUUGCUGGGCCCCUCUCCUCUCAGUCCUGUGCACCUCCUGCAUGCAUGGGAACUGCUGGAUCUUCUGGGAAGCCCAUGACCUCAGCCCUCGGGGCAUGUGGAGGAAGGUACAAUGUCUCCAGAAUGUGAAAUCUUGCCAAAUUUCCAUUGGAAGGUCAGUUCUCAUAAAUACUGUGAGGAAAGAGCCAGGCUGGAGUGCAAUGGUGCAAUCUCGGCUCACUGCAACCUCUGCCUCCCAGGUUCAAGCAAUUCUCGUACCUCAGCCUCCUGAGUAGCUGGGACGACAGGUACAUGCCACCAUGCCCAGCUAAUUUUUGUAUUUUUACUACAGAUGGGGUUUCACCAUGUUGGCCAGGCUGGUCUUGAACUCCUGGCCUCAAGUGAUCCACCCACCUCGGCUUCCCCAGAGUACUGGGAUUACAAGUACUGGGAUUACUGGGCCACCACACCUGGGUGGCCCACCACACCUGGCCCAUAUUUUUAAACUGAAGUUGUCGUUGUUGCCAUAUCUUGUGGCCAAUCCACUCAUCUGAAUUUUCUGCCAAAUGCAGUGGGCUGAAUGAAAAAAAAUAAACUGCAUUGGAACCCAGGAGGCGGAAGUUACAGUGAGCCAAGAUUGCACCACUGCACUCCAGCCUGGGUGACAGAGGAAGAAACCCUCUCAAAUAAAUAAAUAAAUGUGAUAAUUGCCUAAAAACAAGAACCUAGCCAUGUGGGCAGCUUUCCAUGGUAUGAUGCUUUUGAGAAAAUGGUUGGAUUGCAAGGCAAAUAAUUAUAGGCAUUUCAUCACUAAUUGUCCAUAUUCCCACCUCCCACAUACCAACUCUAGAUUUAUGGACACUGAGUCACAAAUGGCUGCCAUAUACUUCGCCUUUUGAGCUAGUCUGGUGGCAGAACACCUCUCUCCUGAUAUUCAAGGACCUGUCUCCAGGUCGCUUCAGUUCCUUGUCUUGCCUCUCGCAAUGGGCUUUCUGCUGACCAAGCCCAUUGACUCAUGGGCGUAGCCGACUAAAGCACUCGGCCAGGUGCAGAGUUUUUGGGCAUUUCAAUGGUGGGGGUCUCCCCACAGCUUGCACUGCUAGUUUUUCUGUUUGUUCUUGAUGACGAACUCUCUACUGUUUAUACAGUAGCAGAACUCACAGAAGCAUAACUUACGUUUCACAGCCUCCAGAGUGGACUUUACAUAAACACGAUGUUUCUGUUAGGCCGGCUUUAUCUUCCCUCUAGAGUCUGUCAGUGGUGCUUUGGAGUAUUCGACUGGGCCACUGUGCAGGGUUGGGGAGUGGUGUCACAAGCCUUCCCUAACCCACCAUCUCUGACCUGCACCCCAGGGCAUGCACAUGAACGGAAUUCAUCUUCUUGGUUUGGAAAAGAAGGGGGUGACAUUAGUGGCGAAACCUCCGUGUAGAGCUCUCGCACCGCAACUCUGAGUCAUAGCUUACAUCGAUCAAGCACUCACUCUGAAGCAGGCUCGGGGCUAAACCUUCACAACCAUUGACUCUGUGCUACAGAGGAGACAGUGAUCUUCACAGAAGUUAGUUCCCAGAGGGCUUUCCCCAGCCCCACCAUUGGGAGCAGAGGGGCAGGGCUGAGCCCAGUCUCACUCGAGUCCUGCUCACACCUUCCUCCAGGACUGCACGGGCCACCUCGCCCAGCCCUCAUGGCAAUGCUGAAGGCAGGUGUGAUUCUCGCCAUUUUACCCAAGGGGAAAGGGAGGCACCGGGGGAAAGGGAGGCUGGGAGCGGCAGACCUCACAGCUAGGAAGUGGCCAAGGCAGGAAGAAGCCCACCGGCCUUUCAACACCAACAGAAUUCUUUCCUCAGAAGGAAUGAGGGAGGGUGGAGGGGUAAGGACAUGGCAUUUUUAAUCCUCCUGUUGGACUGGGAGGCUCUCAAGGUCAGGGACAGUGUCUGAUUCAGCACCCCACCCCCUCGGGCCCUCAACUGGCCCCACUCAGGAUGUCACAAGGCCCCGUGUGCUGCUGGAGGGGGUCCCAGGGUCGGUGACAGGCAGACCACAGCCUCUGGCCUGGAAGGAGGAGAGAGGGAUUGGCAGGCCCAUCCAGGCUGGGGGUCUGAGGAACUGUGAAUGAGGCCGUGAACAGAGACCGCUGGGGUCCAGCAGGCCUGGCUGCAGAAGGGAAGCUCUGCGCAGUGGAAGGCAGGACCCGGUGGCAGCCCUGGGAGCAGGCCCCGCUGGCCCCUGGGAGAAGACCUCCAUGGGCCUCAGCACGACACUCCUAGGCUGGCAGCCGAGGCCUGGUUCACGUGAUCCCUUGAUUUGUGUUUUCUGACCUUUCUUCACAGACACUCUAGGAAGCCUGGGGACACAGAGCCUGCCAGGGGAAGUCACACUCUCAUGAAAGAGCUAGCCAGCAAGAAACUAGAACCGUGGACAUGUAAGAUAGGCACAUGCGUGGCGAGUCCGAAGCGGGAAGCAAGCAGAGGGUGUGACAGAAUACUGAGGGGGCCAGGGAAUGGCUCUUCCAGAGGAGACUUCUGAGUGGGAGACAGGAGCAGGGGAAGGAGCAGCAUGAGCUCUGGGAAGAAGGCAUUUUUGGCAGCGAGCAAUGCAAGUGCAAAAGCCCUGAGGCAUGAAAAACACUAAAGAAUCUGUAGGAGGCCAAGGUGGCCAAGCAAAAGGAGAAAGAGGGACUCCGGCAAGAGAUGGGCAUUUCUCAGGACUGCGGUGGCAGGGAAAAGAGAGCCCCCUGAAGGACAUUCCACAUUCAAACCCCUGCCCUGUGGUGACCCUGCCAGGUGGCUGGGUCAGGAUCUUCCCUGUCAGGCCCAGGCCUCGUUUGCAUGAUGAUGGGAGUAGCUUCCCACGGUCUGGGCUCUCCUUCCCCAUGUUCUCCUGUUCCCCCAAUUCCCAUCACCCAGAUUCCAGGAGCCAGGACUGGUGUCUCCCCUACUGGAGGUUCCCAGAAAGUCUCAGAACUCCCACUGCAGUCCUGGGACACAGGGGCUGGGGGAGGAAGGAAAUUCUCACACAGCUUUCUCCCAGGGAGUUUGCUCUUGUUCCCAGGCUGACAACUGGCAACCCUCAGAACUCUGUUCCCCACCCCCUUCCUCCUCCUC